UCAGAUUUAAAAAAAAAGAUACACAUAUACAGCAUAAUCAUAACCAGCAAAUUACAACCUUUCUAUAGACCACUUUCUUGACCUCCUUGGUACAAGAUUUGGUGCAGCUAUAGAACCUUGGUUGCAAUAAUGAUCUAUAUGGUCACAGUUCAUGUCAGUAAUGUCAAACAUACCAAGUUGUACUCUGCACUGUUGGCUUUUUAAAGCAGGAGAUUAACAAGUAUAGGUCUCUUUAAUUUAUCCUACUGGAUGUUAAAGCUGUUAAUUGUAGUAUUCUGUUUGUUCUGCCCUUUGAGGAUGUGAUGUUAAAAGAGGCCUUUCAGGGGGAGUUGGGUGCCUUCCUCUUGUGUUACAUUCAGUCAUUUCUGGCUACUUGGUGCUAGGAUUUAACUUAGUGAAAAUUUAGAUAAGGAAAAUGUUUCAUUCAUUUUAUUGUGCAGUUUUCCCAAAACAACCAGGACUCUUUGAAUGAAGGAAAAAAAAAAUCUGUUCAAAACAUCAUAAAUACCAGUGUUUGAGUUUUGUGUAAACUUAGUAUGGAAUGUACCAAAAGGUGUUAUUGUGCUCUUCCCCAGUUAUUAAUUUGGAAUUUUGUGUUAAUUGUACAUGUGCCACCAAACAAAAUAAACCAGAAGAUUUCAGGGUGGACAAUAAUCAUUUAAAGAGUGAAAUGAGCAAGAACUUAAAAAGGCUUCCUUGGCAGCCUUCAGACUUUUCAGAGACUUCCCUGAGAAACAUUUAUAUGUGAUUUCAGAAUGGCUGAGUUCAGGGUUGACUGCAGUGCAUCUCUUGCAGGUAUGUCGUCUCAUCCUUGACACAAAGCAGAGCGGAGAUCAAUUUGGUGAAAAAAGGAAGAAGCGAACACUUCAAAGGCACAAGAUCUGCAGGCCAAAAGUUGGUGUUUACGACUUCUGGUUUAUAGAAAGUAAAUAUGAUCCUGCUUCUACACACGUUGAAUAUGAUCAGAAUGUUCUUAAAUGUUUGUUUUUACACUACUGUAAAAUGAAUAGCCUCCAUAUUCCAGAUGAGGAUACCAUUGGAUUACAUAAAACCAUAGAAGGUAAAAAUGAAGCUCUGCUGUAUAUCAAAUGGGAUCUUGGAAUUCACUGACGUCCUGCCAAGAAAAAAAGGAGAGUUGCUCCAGGCCACAUGCAUGACCACAGUUCAUAAAAGAGCUCUUCACACAACUACUCCUCCCACCUGGAGGAUUUUCUAACAUCUUAUGGGAAACCUUUACUGGAAUAUUCUGGAAGAGGAAGGUGAUCCUCAGGAG
Mauremys reevesii (Reeves's turtle) is the source of this 1273-nucleotide long non-coding RNA. RefSeq lists it as uncharacterized. The record is from RefSeq and is a predicted model, not a curated record. Lineage: Eukaryota; Metazoa; Chordata; Testudines; Geoemydidae. The transcript has 4 exons.